GACGAACGCUGGCGGCGUGCUUAACACAUGCAAGUCGAACGGAAAGGCCCUGCUUUUGUGGGGUGCUCGAGUGGCGAACGGGUGAGUAACACGUGAGUAACCUGCCCUUGACUUUGGGAUAACUUCAGGAAACUGGGGCUAAUACCGGAUAGGAGCUCCUGCUGCAUGGUGGGGGUUGGAAAGUUUCGGCGGUUGGGGAUGGACUCGCGGCUUAUCAGCUUGUUGGUGGGGUAGUGGCUUACCAAGGCUUGACGGGUAGCCGGCCUGAGAGGGUGACCGGCCACAUUGGGACUGAGAUACGGCCCAGACUCCUACGGGAGGCAGCAGUGGGGAAUAUUGCACAAUGGGCGGAAGCCUGAUGCAGCAACGCCGCGUGCGGGAUGACGGCCUUCGGGUUGUAAACCGCUUUCGCCUGUGACGAAGCGUGAGUGACGGUAAUGGGUAAAGAAGCACCGGCUAACUACGUG
This 467-nucleotide ribosomal RNA is filed under the name uncultured bacterium. RNAcentral's name for it is "partial 16S ribosomal RNA". It matches the Rfam family "Bacterial small subunit ribosomal RNA", at positions 28 to 507 of the family's 1533-position model. The record is from RNAcentral.